UACGAAGGGGGCUAGCGUUGCUCGGAAUCACUGGGCGUAAAGCGCACGUAGGCGGCUUUCUAAGUCAGGGGUGAAAUCCUGGAGCUCAACUCCAGAACUGCCUUUGAUACUGGGAAGCUCGAGUCCGGAAGAGGUGAGUGGAACUCCGAGUGUAGAGGUGAAAUUCGUAGAUAUCAGGAAGAACACCCGUGGCGAAGGCGGCUCUCUGGGACGGUACUGACGCUGAGACGCGAAAGCGUGGGGAGCGAACAGG
RNAcentral lists this ribosomal RNA (253 nucleotides) under uncultured bacterium. Its description in RNAcentral is "partial 16S ribosomal RNA". It matches the Rfam family "Bacterial small subunit ribosomal RNA", at positions 524 to 776 of the family's 1533-position model. The record is from RNAcentral.